AGUGUGUUUUGUGUUAAAGUGAAGACGCAGCGGGAAUAUCAAGCGGGUAAUCCUACAGGUCCGAAGAAUCGAGAAGGUGAUCAGGCUGCUUAGAGUAGUGGUAUUUGAGUUACAGCAUUAUUGUGAGGUUGUUAUACUCUUUUGAGCUUACAUUUAAAUUUGGAGAGAGUGUGCUGUAAUAUUAAACUCUUGAGGAUUUGGUUUAUGUAUUAUUGAGUGAUGUGAGGUGUGUUUAUUUCUGAGAAAAAAAUUCAGAACGUUUAUUUGUAAUUGUUAUUAUUCAUGUUUCGGAUUUUGAAUUGUUUGUUGUCUGGUUAA
Molecule: long non-coding RNA, 318 nt
Filed under: Rosa chinensis
Lineage: Eukaryota; Viridiplantae; Streptophyta; Magnoliopsida; Rosales; Rosaceae
Description: sRNA RchiOBHm_Chr2g0162551
Source: RNAcentral